Molecule: ribosomal RNA, 772 nt
Filed under: uncultured bacterium
Lineage: Bacteria
Description: bacterial SSU rRNA
Rfam family: Bacterial small subunit ribosomal RNA
Source: RNAcentral
AGAGUUUGAUCCUGGCUCAGGAUGAACGCUGACAGAAUGCUUAACACAUGCAAGUCUAUGAGAAGAUCUACUUCGGUAGAAGGUUAUCAUGGCGGACGGGUGAGUAACGCGUAAAGAACUUGCCUCUUAGACUGGGAUAACAGAUGGAAACGUCUGAUAAGACUAGAUAUAAUAAUGACAUGGCAUCAUGUUGUUAUGAAAGGUAACACUAAGAGAGAGCUUUGCGUCCUAUUAGUUAGUUGGUGAGGUAAUGGCUCACCAAGACGAUGAUAGGUAGCCGGCCUGAGAGGGUGAACGGCCACAAGGGGACUGAGAUACGGCCCUUACUCUUACGGGAGGCAGCAGUGGGGAAUAUUGGACAAUGGAGGAAACUCUGAUCCAGCAAUUCUGUGUGCACGAUGAAGGUUUUCGGAUCGUAAAGUGCUUUCAGUAGGGAAGAAGAAAGUGACGGUACCUACAGAAGAAGCGACGGCUAAAUACGUGCCAGCAGCCGCGGUAAUACGUAUGUCGCAAGCGUUAUCCGGAAUUAUUGGGCGUAAAGGGCAUCUAGGCGGUCAAUCAAGUCGAAGGUGAAAACUUGUGGCUCAACCAUAAGCUUGCCUACGAAACUGAUUAACUAGAGUACUGGAGAGGUGGACGGAACUACACGAGUAGAGGUGAAAUUCGUAGAUAUGUGUAGGAAUGCCGAUGAUGAAGAUAGUUCACUGGACAGAAACUGACGCUGAAGUGCGAAAGCUAGGGGAGCAAACAGGAUUAGAUACCCUGGUAGUCG